UGAGGAAUAUUCCGUCAAUGGGCGAGAGCCUGAACCAGCCAAGUAGCGUGCAGGAUGACGGCCCUAUGGGUUGUAAACUGCUUUUGUAUGGGGAUAAAGUCAAUCACGUGUGAUUGUUUGCAGGUACCAUACGAAUAAGGACCGGCUAAUUCCGUGCCAGCAGCCGCGGUAAUACGGAAGGUCCGGGCGUUAUCCGGAUUUAUUGGGUUUAAAGGGAGCGUAGGCUGGAGAUUAAGUGUGUUGUGAAAUGUAGACGCUCAACGUCUGACUUGCAGCGCAUACUGGUUUCCUUGAGUACGCACAACGUUGGCGGAAUUCGUCGUGUAGCGGUGAAAUGCUUAGAUAUGACGAAGAACUCCGAUUGCGAAGGCAGCUGACGGGAGCGCAACUGACGCUGAAGCUCGAAGGUGCGGGUAUCGAACAGGAUUAGAUACCCUGGUAGUCCGCACAGUAAACGAUGGAUGCCCGCUGUUGGUACGUGGUAUCAGCGGCUAAGCGAAAGCAUUAAGCAUCCCACCUGGGGAGUACGCCGGCAACGGUG
This 541-nucleotide ribosomal RNA is filed under the name uncultured bacterium. RNAcentral describes it as "bacterial SSU rRNA". It matches the Rfam family "Bacterial small subunit ribosomal RNA", at positions 355 to 896 of the family's 1533-position model. The record is from RNAcentral.